RNAcentral lists this ribosomal RNA (500 nucleotides) under uncultured Actinomycetes bacterium. RNAcentral describes it as "bacterial SSU rRNA". It matches the Rfam family "Bacterial small subunit ribosomal RNA", at positions 38 to 535 of the family's 1533-position model. Lineage: Bacteria; Bacillati; Actinomycetota; Actinomycetes. The record is from RNAcentral.
GGCGGCGCGCUUAACACAUGCAAGUCGAGCGAGAACCAGUCCUUCGGGACUGGGGACAGCGGCGAACGGGUGAGUAACACGUGGGUAAUCGACCCUUGGUACUGGGAUAGCCCGGGGAAACCCGGAUUAAUACCGGAUGGCCCAGCAGCUCUUCGGGGCGGCUGGAAAAGGUAGCUUCGGCCUCCGACCAAGGACGAGCCCGCGGCGGAUUAGCUUGUUGGUGAGGUAACGGCUCACCAAGGCGACGAUCCGUAGCUGGUCUGAGAGGACGAUCAGCCACACUGGGACUGAGACACGGCCCAGACUCCUACGGGAGGCAGCAGUGGGGAAUCUUGCGCAAUGGGCGAAAGCCUGACGCAGCGACGCCGCGUGUGGGAUGACGGCCUUCGGGCUGUAAACCACUGUCGGGAAGGACGAAUGCGCCGCAAGGCGAGUGACGGUACCUCCAAAGGAAGCACCGGCUAACUCCGUGCCAGCAGCCGCGGUAAUACGGAAGGUGC